GACAGAAGACACCGGCACUUUAAACUCU
RNAcentral lists this non-coding RNA (28 nucleotides) under Cricetulus griseus (Chinese hamster). Lineage: Eukaryota; Metazoa; Chordata; Mammalia; Rodentia; Cricetidae. The record is from RNAcentral. RNAcentral also lists the same sequence under 1 other name.